This 253-nucleotide ribosomal RNA is filed under the name uncultured bacterium. RNAcentral's name for it is "partial 16S ribosomal RNA". It matches the Rfam family "Bacterial small subunit ribosomal RNA", at positions 524 to 776 of the family's 1533-position model. The record is from RNAcentral.
UACGUAGGGUGCGAGCGUUAAUCGGAAUUACUGGGCGUAAAGCGUGCGCAGGCGGUUCGUUAAGUCAGCUGUGAAAGCCCCGAGCUCAACCUGGGAACUGCGGUUGAAACUGGCGAACUAGAAUCUGGCAGAGGGGGGUGGAAUUCCACGUGUAGCAGUGAAAUGCGUAGAGAUGUGGAGGAACACCGAUGGCGAAGGCAGCCCCCUGGGCUGAGAUUGACGCUCAGGCACGAAAGCGUGGGGAGCAAACAGG